GAUGAACGCUGGCGGCGUGCCUAAUACAUGCAAGUCGAGCGAACGGACGAGAAGCUUGCUUCUCUGAUGUUAGCGGCGGACGGGUGAGUAACACGUGGAUAACCUACCUAUAAGACUGGGAUAACUUCGGGAAACCGGAGCUAAUACCGGAUAAUAUUUUGAACCGCAUGGUUCAAAAGUGAAAGACGGUCUUGCUGUCACUUAUAGAUGGAUCCGCGCUACAUUAGCUAGUUGGUAAGGUAACGGCUUACCAAGGCAACGAUGCAUAGCCGACCUGAGAGGGUGAUCGGCCACACUGGAACUGAGACACGGUCCAGACUCCUACGGGAGGCAGCAGUAGGGAAUCUUCCGCAAUGGGCGAAAGCCUGACGGAGCAACGCCGCGUGAGUGAUGAAGGUCUUCGGAUCGUAAAACUCUGUUAUUAGGGAAGAACAUAUGUGUAAGUAACUGUGCACAUCUUGACGGUACCUAAUCAGAAAGCCACGGCUAACUACGUG
Molecule: ribosomal RNA, 497 nt
Filed under: uncultured bacterium
Lineage: Bacteria
Description: partial 16S ribosomal RNA
Rfam family: Bacterial small subunit ribosomal RNA
Source: RNAcentral